RNAcentral lists this ribosomal RNA (305 nucleotides) under uncultured bacterium. RNAcentral's name for it is "bacterial SSU rRNA". It matches the Rfam family "Bacterial small subunit ribosomal RNA", at positions 334 to 656 of the family's 1533-position model. The record is from RNAcentral.
UUACCCUACGGGGCGCAGCAGUGGGUACUCUUGCACAAUUUUUGAAACCCUGAUGCAGCAACGCCGCGUGAGUGAAGAAGUCAUUCGUGAUGUAAAGCUCUAUCAGCAGGGAAGAAAAUGACGGUACCUGAGUAAGAAGCCCCGGCUAACUACGUGCCAGCAGCCGCGGUAAUACGUAGGGGGCAAGCGUUAUCCGGAUUUACUGGGCGUAAAGGGAGCGUAGACGGCCAGACAAGUCUGAAGUGAAAAUCCAGCGCUUAACGUUGGAAGUGCUUUGGAAACUGCCGGGCUAGAGUGCAGGAGGG